This 138-nucleotide ribosomal RNA is filed under the name Pseudocercospora eucalyptorum. RNAcentral describes it as "partial 18S ribosomal RNA". It matches the Rfam family "Eukaryotic small subunit ribosomal RNA", at positions 1695 to 1830 of the family's 1831-position model. Lineage: Eukaryota; Fungi; Ascomycota; Dothideomycetes; Mycosphaerellales; Mycosphaerellaceae. RNAcentral also lists the same sequence under 1 other name. The record is from RNAcentral.
GGCUCAGUGAGGCCUUCGGACUGGCCCAGGGAGGUCGGCAACGACCACCCAGGGCCGGAAAGUUGGUCAAACUCGGUCAUUUAGAGGAAGUAAAAGUCGUAACAAGGUCUCCGUAGGUGAACCUGCGGAGGGAUCAUU